Brassica napus (rape) is the source of this 1353-nucleotide long non-coding RNA. RefSeq lists it as uncharacterized. The record is from RefSeq and is a predicted model, not a curated record. The transcript has 2 exons. NCBI's taxonomy places the organism in Eukaryota, Viridiplantae, Streptophyta, Magnoliopsida, Brassicales, Brassicaceae.
AAUUGAUCCAAUUGUGCAUUUCUCCUUCGUUUAUUCACGUCCAGUUAUUUUUGAUAUUUUGAAAAAAAAUAUAGUUGGACUUUCUAAAUUGCUAAGCAAUCAUUCAUGUGCAUGUUGAAGAAAAAGGAUUCAACUUCUGCUCACUCCCUACUUCCCAUGCGCUGAUUUGCAAAAUGUUUACCACAAUAGCUUCAAUAAAUGUGUUUUCAUUUCUCCUUUGAGAGAUGGUACUUGGAAAAGUUUGUGAAAGGACAAUGGGAUAAAGAUGACUGUGUUCUUGAGUGGAAAAAUUACAUAGACUAUCCCUCGAUAACUCACCACUCUUCUUAUGUCUUUCAGCUCUAUUCAUGUUUUGUCUGAUGUUCCUAAUCAGUUCAUGAGCUCUCUUUAUGAGUUUCACUUUCCUCGGUUCUCAUGUAUUCAAACAUAAGAGUUUAGGUGGAAAAUUUCUUACUCGCAUUUUGGAGUUUUUUGGUGAGUUUAAUCCAACUAAACAAGCUGAUGCAAAAGAAUCCAGCCGAUGAUACUUGGCCCUUUAUGUUUCUCAAUAACAUUCUCUCUUUGAAACAAAUCCAUUGAGCAACUUGUUUAUAUAUAGGAAAGCAUUCUCUAUAUUACUUGGGACUUAGGAGGGAAAUCAAAAUAGAAUUAAGGAGAAUGUUGUAUUCUUAUUUUGGCAACCAAGCUGUAGGCCUUUUCCGGGAUUGCUUCAGCAAUUUAAUAAUAGUUGAUGUUAUCAUAUGCAAAAAUUCGUUUGGGGGUGCUGACUUCGUCUUCUUCUUGAUCAGCUGGUGGUCCGCAUCAUUUCUUUGUUUAUUGUAUGGACUAGAAAGGUAAAUAAAAUCUUCCGUCCUUAGAAACAUUCUUCAUGCAAAACUUAACUGAAAUUAAAAAAAAAAACUUAACUGAAAUUUAAAUUUUCCAAAAUCCUGAACCAUUUUACUGUGCUUACACUUUCUGGCUCAUGAACUCUAAAGAGUUGACACAUACUUGUAGAGUACUUGGACCAUUGGCAUCAUCACACUUCACAACAGAGGUGCGUACGAGGGAAACCAUCCGUUGAAAUCACUGUUCUAAAAUACACACAAUGUUAGGAAACAACUGUCUUUCGUCGUUCAUAUGGAUGCAGAGUUGCCGAUUUGAUUUACAGAGUCAAUAUGAGUUAGUAAAUGUCUUGCUCUAAAAAAAAAUACACACAAUGUGGUCGUCUAAGCGCCAUAUAUACGCUGUACGGGUGCAUAACGUACUGAAUUUGGUGGUUCGGUUUAUUUAUACGGCAUAGUCUAUUUUAGAUAUUGUGGUUAGUAUUAACGAAGAAAAUGAUUAUAAUGAACAAGUCAAAUAUUCAAAUUA